UGGAGGAUGUUUUCUGAAUAAACUGAUUCUACAUCUGAUAUAGUCUUACAGAGUUCCUGUAAAUUACAGUUCCAGCUUAUUUACAAAGAAAACAAAGACUUUAGUAAAAUAAAUUACAGAGCCAUAGUAUUUAAAGGAAAGGGGAAGUUAAAAACGAAAAAUUAAGAACUGUAUAGGGAUCCAAUUCUUCUACCUGUCAAACAGUAUAAUAACUAAGGGAAAACUGCAAAAAUUUCAGAAAGAGAAUGAGUUUCUCUUUCUUGAUCUCUAAAUGACAAUGUUGAUGUCACUUGUUCUGAAUAGGGUUUGAAAGCGUUGGUGGAGCCUUCCUUAGACUAGUGUCCAAAGCUUUCUGGGCAGCUUUAGCAGCUCCACUUGCAUUGCUCAUGUUUGCUGAAAGCGAGGAGACAGAUACUAGAAGUUUUCUUGAUCGAUCAGUGUCUCCUGAAUGGAUCUUUCUGUCAUUGUGAACAGAAAGUAGAGAACACAUGAGAAUUUGAGAAAGAACCAAGGCAAAAAGAACAAACCAGGCUCCACUGGGUCUCAUCCUGUUCUGGUUUUGGAAGGAAGAGGAAACUGAUAUGCUUUGCAGGGAGGACAUAUGAUGAUUUCUCUCAAGGAAGGUGGCAACACACUGAAUUCUUUUUUCUUACAUAUACUCGCAUUGAAUUCUGACUACAUGUAACAUAUAAAAAGCUGCUAUUAAAUAGACUCAGUUUGGUUACUUAAAUUCAACCAUCCCUGACCAGGGACCACCUGUUGUGAUGCUCCUUGGAACUACAGACAAAAGGGCAAAAUAUCAUACAGAGACUUUAUUAUAGAAGCUUCCUUCUGCAGUUAAAUGGGGUAGAUCUAAACAUUCCCAAACAAGGGGAUCAUUAACUAGACCAAGGACAUCCCUGCACUUGAAUUUGUGGAAAGAUAAAUUUAUGGAGAGAAAUUCAGGUAGAGAAUUCCACUUAUAAUAUGUAUUUAAACUGGUACAAACAUAAUUUGAUUGCCC
This 1003-nucleotide long non-coding RNA is filed under the name Ricinus communis (castor bean). RNAcentral describes it as "long non-coding RNA (RCOM_LNC001956)". The record is from RNAcentral. Lineage: Eukaryota; Viridiplantae; Streptophyta; Magnoliopsida; Malpighiales; Euphorbiaceae.